ACCUCGGUGGUGUAGUGAUAGCUCGUAUUCUCAUUAUGGAUGAAACGCGGGUUCGACUCCCGUCUAAGGUC
This is a non-coding RNA of Parelaphostrongylus tenuis, 71 nucleotides long. NCBI's taxonomy places the organism in Eukaryota, Metazoa, Nematoda, Chromadorea, Rhabditida, Metastrongylidae. The record is from the annotation of a GenBank genome assembly.